This 234-nucleotide unclassified non-coding RNA is filed under the name Tetracladium marchalianum. Its description in RNAcentral is "partial internal transcribed spacer region". The stretch from base 1 to 46 matches the Rfam family "Eukaryotic small subunit ribosomal RNA", at positions 1786 to 1831 of the family's 1831-position model. Lineage: Eukaryota; Fungi; Ascomycota; Leotiomycetes; Helotiales. The record is from RNAcentral.
AAGUCGUAACAAGGUUUCCGUAGGUGAACCUGCGGAAGGAUCAUUACCGAGUUCAUGCCCUCACGGGUAGAUCUCCCACCCUUUGUAUACCAUACCUUUGUUGCUUUGGCGGGCCGCCUAGCUACUGGCUUCGGCUGGUAAGUGCCCGCCAGAGGACCCAAAACCCUGAUUAUUAGUGUCGUCUGAGUACAAUUUUAAUAUUUAAAACUUUCAACAACGGAUCUCUUGGCUCUG